Molecule: transfer RNA, 73 nt
Filed under: Pelodiscus sinensis (Chinese soft-shelled turtle)
Lineage: Eukaryota; Metazoa; Chordata; Testudines; Trionychidae
Rfam family: tRNA
About the family: Transfer RNA (tRNA) molecules are approximately 80 nucleotides in length.
Source: Rfam by way of RNAcentral
GCCAAAGUAGCUCAGUGGGGAGAGCGUUAGACUAAAGCUCUAAAGGUCCCUGGCUCAAUCCCAGGCUUUGGCA